CAUACUUCUAAUUAGAAUGUGCUUUUUUUUUGGUCAGGUGGCCUGUGCUGUCCACCCUGCUGCUGCUUCUCUGGAGGCUCUGCCCAGGGCAGGUUCCCAGGAUGCCCCUUUCUGCAACCCCUUCUUUGCUUCGGAACCUAAUUCCCAGGGCCUGCAGCGGCUUCCUGUGUGCGUCUUACUCUCUCCUCAUGAAAUGGGCUAGGCCUCGCCGCGCUGUGACCUAAGCUCCUUACGCUAGAUUGUCUUCCAGGAAAAGACCUUUCAGAACUUGGAACGGCUUUUCAGGAAUGUGCCUGUCCUCGGAGAGACCUAAACAGAAGCCAGGCCACCCAGUCCAGGAUGUCGGGAGCUCACAGUCCUCUGCUUAGAACAUGUCUAUCCAGAAAAGCAGCAGACCUAGGUGUCCCGGGCAUCUGAACACCAGGGUCACCUUCCCUUCCUAAGAAGCCCCUGCCGUCAAUCAGGAGGAGCAGCCUGGAGCUGGGGGCCUUGGCCUCCCGUCUCCGCCCCCGAAAGCCUUUCACCCUGCAGACACCGGUGUCCUAGGUGCUGGCUUCCGUGGGCACUGGCAGUGAGCUCCUCCUCACGGGUGUCCCUCCACCCAUGCCCACGUCCUUCCCUACCAGGACUGGCUCCGUCAUAAUUUAUAGGCCCCAAUUCAAAAUGAAAACAUGGGGUCUGUGGUUCAAAAAUCAUUAAGAAUUCCAAGAAGGGGACCACAGAGCAUCCAGCCCUGCUGAGCAGGGGCCCUUCUGAGAGGGGCCCGGGGCGACCCUCAGAUCCCAGGCCAGGGAAAAAAAAGUCCGUCUUUCCCCAAGCCCUCCCC
RNAcentral lists this long non-coding RNA (826 nucleotides) under Ictidomys tridecemlineatus (thirteen-lined ground squirrel). RNAcentral describes it as "lncRNA (ENSSTOG00000029687.1)". The record is from RNAcentral. Lineage: Eukaryota; Metazoa; Chordata; Mammalia; Rodentia; Sciuridae.